UCGUAGCUCAGUUGGUUAGAGCGUUGGUCUAUUAAACCCAAGGUCGAGUGUU
RNAcentral lists this transfer RNA (52 nucleotides) under Fragilariopsis kerguelensis. RNAcentral describes it as "partial tRNA". The record is from RNAcentral. Lineage: Eukaryota; Bacillariophyta; Bacillariophyceae; Bacillariales; Bacillariaceae.